RNAcentral lists this ribosomal RNA (305 nucleotides) under uncultured bacterium. Its description in RNAcentral is "bacterial SSU rRNA". It matches the Rfam family "Bacterial small subunit ribosomal RNA", at positions 338 to 661 of the family's 1533-position model. The record is from RNAcentral.
CCUCCUUUCCCCAGCAUUUGGGAAUAUUGCCCCAUGGGGGAAACCCUGACGCCCCCCCUCCUCUUUCUUUCUUCCUUCUUUCGGUUUGUAAACCGCUUUCAGCAGGGAAUAUAGUGACGGUACCUGCAGAAGAAGCCCCGGCUAAAUACGUGCCAGCAGCCGCGGUAAUACGUAUGGGGCGAGCGUUAUCCGGAUUCAUUGGGCGUAAAGCGCGCGCAGGCGGGCUGCUAAGCGGGACCUCUAAUCUCGGGGCUCAACCCCGAGCCGGGUUCCGAACUGGCAGCCCCCGGUUCGGUAGGGGUAGG